GUGCUCACUUCAACAGCAUGUGUACUAAAAUUGAAAUGAUACAGAGAAGAUUAGCAUGGGCCCUGUGCAAGGAUGAUACACAAAUUUGUGAAGUGUUCUGUAUGGGG
Molecule: small nuclear RNA, 107 nt
Organism: Heteronotia binoei (common prickly gecko)
Lineage: Eukaryota; Metazoa; Chordata; Lepidosauria; Squamata; Gekkonidae
Source: RefSeq, a predicted model, not a curated record